UGCAGCCAAGCCGUUCUUGC
RNAcentral lists this unclassified non-coding RNA (20 nucleotides) under Chlamydomonas reinhardtii. Its description in RNAcentral is "small RNA Cre_3012". Lineage: Eukaryota; Viridiplantae; Chlorophyta; Chlorophyceae; Chlamydomonadales; Chlamydomonadaceae. The record is from RNAcentral.